This 199-nucleotide ribosomal RNA is filed under the name uncultured bacterium. RNAcentral describes it as "partial 16S ribosomal RNA". It matches the Rfam family "Bacterial small subunit ribosomal RNA", at positions 335 to 526 of the family's 1533-position model. The record is from RNAcentral.
ACUCCUACGGGAGGCAGCAGUGGGGAAUAUUGCACAAUGGGCGCAAGCCUGAUGCAGCCAUGCCGCGUGUAUGAAGAAGGCCUUCGGGUUGUAAAGUACUUUCAGUAGGGAGGAAGGUGGUUAAGUUAAUACCUUAAUCAUUUGACGUUACCUACAGAAGAAGCACCGGCUAACUCCGUGCCAGCAGCCGCGGUAAUAC